UGGGGAAUUUUGCACAAUGGGGGAAACCCUGAUGCAGCGACGCCGCGUGAUUUAGAAGGCCUUCGGGUUGUAAAAAUCUUUUCUAUGGGAAGAAAAUGACAGUACCAUAGGAAUAAGGACCGGCUAAUUACGUGCCAGCAGCCGCGGUAAUACGUACGGGCCGAGCGUUGUCCGGAAUCAUUGGGCGUAAAGGGUACGUAGGCGGGUAAGCAAGUUAGAAGUGAAAUCCUGUAGCUCAACUACAGUAAGCUUUUAAAACUGCUCGUCAUGAGCUAUGGAAGGGAAAGUGGAAUUCCUGGUGUAGCGGUGAAAUGCGCAGAUAUUAGGAGGAAUACCGGUGGCGAAGGCGACUUUCUGGUCUGUAACUGACGCUGAUGUGCGAAAGCGUGGGGAUCAAACAGG
RNAcentral lists this ribosomal RNA (402 nucleotides) under Bacteroidota bacterium. RNAcentral describes it as "Bacteroidetes bacterium partial 16S ribosomal RNA". It matches the Rfam family "Bacterial small subunit ribosomal RNA", at positions 355 to 776 of the family's 1533-position model. Lineage: Bacteria; Pseudomonadati; Bacteroidota. The record is from RNAcentral.